UAAGGAAUAUUGCGCAAUGGGCGAAAGCCUGACGCAGCGACGCCGCGUGGGGGAUGAAGGUCUUCGGAUUGUAAACCCCUUUCGGGAGGGAAGAUGGAAUGGGGUAACCCAUUCGGACGGUACCUCCAGAAGCAGCCACGGCUAACUUCGUGCCAGCAGCCGCGGUAAUACGAAGGUGGCAAGCGUUGUUCGGAUUUACUGGGCGUACAGGGAGCGUAGGCGGUUCGGUAAGCCCUCUGUGAAAUCUCCAGGCUUAACCUGGAACAGUCGGAGGGGACUGCCGGGCUAGAGGACGGGAGAGGAGCGCGGAAUUCCCGGUGUAGCGGUGAAAUGCGUAGAGAUCGGGAGGAAGGCCGGUGGCGAAGGCGGCGCUCUGGAACGUUUCUGACGCUGAGGCUCGAAAGCGUGGGGAGCAAACAGGAUUAGAUACCCCCGUAGUCC
RNAcentral lists this ribosomal RNA (441 nucleotides) under uncultured bacterium. RNAcentral's name for it is "bacterial SSU rRNA". It matches the Rfam family "Bacterial small subunit ribosomal RNA", at positions 355 to 796 of the family's 1533-position model. The record is from RNAcentral.